RNAcentral lists this ribosomal RNA (220 nucleotides) under uncultured bacterium. RNAcentral's name for it is "partial 16S ribosomal RNA". It matches the Rfam family "Bacterial small subunit ribosomal RNA", at positions 99 to 334 of the family's 1533-position model. The record is from RNAcentral.
CGGACGGGUGAGUAUCGCGUAGGGAUUUGUCGUUGGGUGGGGGAUAACCUUGGGAAACUGGGGCUAAUACCGCAUGACGCCUUUGGGCCAAAGCAGAGAUGCGCCUGAUGAGGAGCCUGCGUCCGAUUAACUAGUUGGUUGGGUAAAGGCUGACCAAGGCAUCGAUCGGUAGCUGGUCUGAGAGGAUGAUCAGCCACACUGGGACUGAGACACGGCCCAG